RNAcentral lists this ribosomal RNA (484 nucleotides) under uncultured bacterium. RNAcentral's name for it is "partial 16S ribosomal RNA". It matches the Rfam family "Bacterial small subunit ribosomal RNA", at positions 30 to 507 of the family's 1533-position model. The record is from RNAcentral.
AUUGAACGCUGGCGGCAGGCCUAACACAUGCAAGUCGAGCGGAUGAAGGGAGCUUGCUCCUGGACUCAGCGGCGGACGGGUGAGUAAUGCCUAGGAAUCUGCCUGGUAGUGGGGGAUAACGUCCGGAAACGGGCGCUAAUACCGCAUACGUCCUGAGGGAGAAAGUGGGGGAUCUUCGGACCUCACGCUAUCAGAUGAGCCUAGGUCGGAUUAGCUAGUUGGUGGGGUAAAGGCCUACCAAGGCGACGAUCCGUAACUGGUCUGAGAGGAUGAUCAGUCACACUGGAACUGAGACACGGUCCAGACUCCUACGGGAGGCAGCAGUGGGGAAUAUUGGACAAUGGGCGAAAGCCUGAUCCAGCCAUGCCGCGUGUGUGAAGAAGGUCUUCGGAUUGUAAAGCACUUUAAGUUGGGAGGAAGGGCAGUAAGUUAAUACCUUGCUGUUUUGACGUUACCAACAGAAUAAGCCCCGGCUAACUUCGUG